CCUACGGGCGGCAGCAGUAGGGAAUCUUCCACAAUGGGCGAAAGCCUGAUGGAGCAACGCCGCGUGGGUGAAGAAGGUCUUCGGAUCGUAAAACCCUGUUGUUAGAGAAGAAAGUGCGUGAGAGUAACUGUUCACGUGUCGACGGUAUCUAACCAGAAAGCCACGGCUAACUACGUGCCAGCAGCCGCGGUAAUACGUAGGGGGCAAGCGUUAGCCGGAUUUAUGGGGCGUAAAGGGAACGCAGGCGGUCUUUUAAGUCUGAUGUGAAAGCCUUCGGCUUAACCGGAGUAGGGCAUUGGAACCUGGGAGACUUGCUUGCAGCAGAGGAGAGUGGAACUCCAUUUGUAGCGGU
Molecule: ribosomal RNA, 352 nt
Filed under: uncultured bacterium
Lineage: Bacteria
Description: partial 16S ribosomal RNA
Rfam family: Bacterial small subunit ribosomal RNA
Source: RNAcentral